ACCCGUCUUGAAACACGGACCAAGGAGUCUAACAUCUACGCGAGUGUUCGGGUGGCAAACCCGUGCGCGCAGUGAAAGCGAACGGAGGUGGGAGCCCCCCCGAGGGGCGCACCAUCGACCGAUCCUGAUGUCUUCGGAUGGAUUUGAGUAGGAGCGUAGCUGUGGGGACCCGAAAGAUGGUGAACUAUGCCUGAAUAGGGCGAAGCCAGAGGAAACUCUGGUGGAGGCUCGCA
This 233-nucleotide ribosomal RNA is filed under the name Aedes furcifer. RNAcentral's name for it is "partial large subunit ribosomal RNA". It matches the Rfam family "Eukaryotic large subunit ribosomal RNA", at positions 647 to 879 of the family's 3401-position model. Lineage: Eukaryota; Metazoa; Arthropoda; Insecta; Diptera; Culicidae. The record is from RNAcentral.